GACGAACGCUGGCGGCGUGCUUAACACAUGCAAGUCGAACGGAAAGGCCCUGCUUUUGUGGGGUGCUCGAGUGGCGAACGGGUGAGCAACACGUGAGUAACCUGCCCUUGACUUUGGGAUAACUUCAGGAAACUGGGGCUAAUACCGGAUAGGAGCUCCUGCUGCAUGGUGGGGGUUGGAAAGUUUCGGCGGUUGGGGAUGGACUCGCGGCUUAUCAGCUUGUUGGUGGGGUAGUGGCUUACCAAGGCUUUGACGGGUAGCCGGCCUGAGAGGGUGACCGGCCACAUUGGGACUGAGAUACGGCCCAGACUCCUACGGGAGGCAGAAGUGGGGAAUAUUGCACAAUGGGCGGAAGCCUGAUGCAGCAACGCCGCGUGCGGGAUGACGGCCUUCGGGUUGUAAACCGCUUUCGCCUGUGACGAAGCGUGAGUGACGGUAAUGGGUAAAGAAGCACCGGCUAACUACGUG
Molecule: ribosomal RNA, 468 nt
Filed under: uncultured bacterium
Lineage: Bacteria
Description: partial 16S ribosomal RNA
Rfam family: Bacterial small subunit ribosomal RNA
Source: RNAcentral